This 253-nucleotide ribosomal RNA is filed under the name uncultured bacterium. Its description in RNAcentral is "partial 16S ribosomal RNA". It matches the Rfam family "Bacterial small subunit ribosomal RNA", at positions 524 to 776 of the family's 1533-position model. The record is from RNAcentral.
GACAGAGGGUGCAAACGUUGUUCGGAAUUACUGGGCGUAAAGCGUGUGUAGGCGGCUAUGUAAGUCGGAUGUGAAAGCCCCAGGCUCAACCUGGGAAGUGCACUCGAUACUGCGUAGCUUGAGUAUCGGAGAGGUUGGUGGAAUUCCUGGUGUAGCGGUGAAAUGCGUAGAUAUCAGGAGGAACACCGGUGGUGUAGACGGCUCACUGGACCGUAACUGACGCUGAGACACGAAAGCGUGGGUAGCAAACAGG